GACGAACGCUGGCGGCGUGCUUAACACAUGCAAGUCGAACGGUGACGCGCCUUCCUCUUUGGCGGGUGUGGAUGAGUGGCGAACGGGUGAGUAACACGAGCGUAACCUGCUCCCUCCUUCUGGAUAACCGCAUGAAAGUGUGGCUAAUACGGGAUAUUCUGGGUCUGUCGCAUCAUGGGUUCGGGAAAGCUAUCGUUUCGGUGGGGGAUGGGCUCGCGGCCUAUCGGGUUGUUGGUGGGGUGAUGGCCUACCAAGGCGAUGACGAGUAGCCGGCAUGAGAGGGUGGGCGAUAACAGAGCUGCGAAGACGCGGCCCAGACUCCGAGGGGAAGCAGCAGGGGAGAUUAGUGCACAGUGGGCACAAUCCUGAUGCAGCAACGCGGCGUGGGAGAUGGAGUCCGGCUGGUUGAGAACCUCUGUCGCGAGUGAAGCAGGGCUGCCUCGUUUGUGGGUGGGUUGACGGUAGCUGGAGAAGAAGCGCCGGCUAACUACGUG
Molecule: ribosomal RNA, 494 nt
Filed under: uncultured bacterium
Lineage: Bacteria
Description: partial 16S ribosomal RNA
Rfam family: Bacterial small subunit ribosomal RNA
Source: RNAcentral